CUUUAUUGGAGAGUUUGAUCCUGGCUCAGGACGAACGCUGGCGGCAUGCCUAAUACAUGCAAGUCGAGCGGAGUUGAUAGGAAGCUUGCUUCCUUGAUACUUAGCGGCGGACGGGUGAGUAACACGUAGGCAACCUGCCCUCAAGUUUGGGACAACUACCGGAAACGGUAGCUAAUACCGAAUAGUUGUUUUCUUCGCCUGAAGGAAACUGGAAAGACGGAGCAAUCUGUCACUUGGGGAUGGGCCUGCGGCGCAUUAGCUAGUUGGUGGGGUAACGGCUCACCAAGGCGAC
Molecule: ribosomal RNA, 292 nt
Filed under: Paenibacillus sp. VT-400
Lineage: Bacteria; Bacillati; Bacillota; Bacilli; Caryophanales; Paenibacillaceae
Description: partial 16S ribosomal RNA
Rfam family: Bacterial small subunit ribosomal RNA
Source: RNAcentral